GACGAACGCUGGCGGCGUGCCUAAUACAUGCAAGUUGAGCGCUGAAGGUUGGUACUUGUACCAACUGGAUGAGCAGCGAACGGGUGAGUAACGCGUGGGGAAUCUGCCUUUGAGCGGGGGACAACAUUUGGAAACGAAUGCUAAUACCGCAUAAAAACUUUAAACACAAGUUUUAAGUUUGAAAGAUGCAAUUGCAUCACUCAAAGAUGAUCCCGCGUUGUAUUAGCUAGUUGGUGAGGUAAAGGCUCACCAAGGCGAUGAUACAUAGCCGACCUGAGAGGGUGAUCGGCCACAUUGGGACUGAGACACGGCCCAAACUCCUACGGGAGGCAGCAGUAGGGAAUCUUCGGCAAUGGACGAAAGUCUGACCGAGCGACGCCGCGUGAGUGAAGAAGGGUUUCGGAUCGUAAAACUCUGUUGGUAGAGAAGAACGUUGGUGAGAGUGGAAAGCUCAUCAAGUGACGGUAACUACCCAGAAAGGGACGGCUAACUACGUG
Molecule: ribosomal RNA, 497 nt
Filed under: uncultured bacterium
Lineage: Bacteria
Description: partial 16S ribosomal RNA
Rfam family: Bacterial small subunit ribosomal RNA
Source: RNAcentral